Long non-coding RNA from Thunnus maccoyii (southern bluefin tuna), 10893 nucleotides. RefSeq lists it as uncharacterized. Lineage: Eukaryota; Metazoa; Chordata; Actinopteri; Scombriformes; Scombridae. The record is from RefSeq and is a predicted model, not a curated record. The transcript is spliced from 2 exons.
AUGUCUCACACUGAUGAGCAGAUUUAAACUUACUGUGGAAAUACUGCAGCUGUGAGAAUGUUUAGAGAACUUUAGAAGGAUUCCAAACCUGCUCCUCAUCUGAUCACCAGCAACAUGAUUGCGAAGGCAGUAGUCACCAGCCAGUGGAGACCUCGUCUGUCCAGCAGUGAGUCUGCAGAUGAAAGCUCCCAACAGUACUUCAGCUGACCUGCAGCAGAGGACUCAAUAAGAACACUGCCUGUGUGUAUGCACACUCAGAGACAGAUGAAGGAAGGAGGAGAAUCAAGAGGUGAGGAAGAAACAGACCAGGUAAGAGCACCACAUAUACAAAAACACACACACACACACGCACACACACACACACACACACAAGGAGCUGUGCAUGCAGGUUCAAGCUGAUUUUACAUCUGGAGAUAAUAAAGUAAGGCCUUUGACAUCUUGUAUGUGUGUGAUUUUCAUAUAGCCCAUAUUGUUCAUCUAUAGUCCCCUGUCCUAAUUUGAUGUUGUGCUGCAGUCUUACAUUUUCUUGUUCUUGCACAAUGCACAAGAAGUCAGUUUUUCUUCUGACUUCUCGUGGAAACAUACCGAUGGGUGACAAAUUAAAGGAAAAACCAACAUGAAGUGUCUUAGUAAGGAAUCAGGCCACCACGAGCCUCCAGAACAGCCUCAGAGCUCUUUUCCAAGUCUGUGGAACUCUGUUGGAGAGAUGAACAACAUUCCUCCACAAGAUAUUCCCUCAUUUAUUUAAACAACCUUUAUUUCAUCAGGUCGUUUCAUUGAGAUCAAAAUCUCUUUUGCAAUCACAGACAUCAUUAAAUAGAUUUGAAGAUGAAAGUUUAUAUUAUAUCAUUUGGUCUCAUGGAGAUGGUGGUGGAGAGCAUUGUCUUACACGUUGGUCCAAAAGCUUCUAUAGGUGUUCAGCUGGGUUGAGAUCUGGUGACUGUAGAGGCCUGAGCAUUUUAUUUACAUCAUUUUCAUACUCACCAAACCAUUGCGUGAACCCUCGUGCAUGAAAACAUCUGCAUUUGAUAUGUCUCUCCACUCUUUCUCCACCAUUCAGGUUUUUCCUCUAAUUGUCCCCUGUCUGUAUAUGAGUGUUCUGUAAAAUCAUGGUUUUAAACCAGCUUUGAUGGUCUUGAGUAUCCAGUGUCUUAAGAAAUCUUGAGAUCUCUACUAGUGUUUAAAGUUAGCUUCUCUGGGUUUGGAUUUGCUUGGCUGUUUGAACUGACAGACCGGGAAGUGAAUCUGACAAGCUUUAGGACAUUAAUGCUAAUGUAAAUGUAAAUCUCACAUUGAGGUCCCCAUUCCUAAAGUCCAGCUCAUAAAUAUGUGUUGAAAUCCUCCAGCAGCCAGGAGAUGCUGUCCUGUUUAGGACUGGGAUGGACAUGAGAAAGUGUAUGGAGGGAGGAGAGGAGGAAAUGCUGUAUUUAUUUACUGAGCAGUCAAAAGUCUUAAGGGCAUUGGGUUAGCAGGAUUUUCACAUAACCCUCCUCACACACACACUCACACACACCCUCACAUCAGUCCCCUUCUGGGACCAAGAAACCAUCAUUCCCAGGGUCAAUUUUACAUGGGAGGAGGGGAGGAGGGGGGAGGAAGAGGAGGAGAGGCAGAUGGAAGGCGAGAGAAGAAUGCAGGAAAAGAGAGAAAGUGAUGGAGAGAGAUGAACCCAACCGAGGCCGACAGGGUCAUAGCUCCAAUGCCAUGUAUAGAAACACAUACAUACAGAAGUUGUAUUAGUUGAUUUGUACAGCAUCUGGUUGCAACAAACUACAAACUGCUUCACAUCACAUUAAAGCAAGUCUGUUACUGUAUUUGCAUCACCAAUAAUUUAAUUUACAAUUAAUUUUUAUUUUUUAAUACCUCUGGUACAUGUCAACUGCGUAGUUGUUGUUGCUUAGAUACCAGCUGAAAACUUAAACUGCUCUUAGUGUACACACUUCUUCAGUUCAACUGCUUUUAGCACAUGACACUUGAUACUGACAUUUCAACAUCUUUCAUUCUCUACAAGUCAACUGACACUUCAGCUGAUUUUCACUUUUCAAUUGACUGUUCAACCAAUUUAAACUGAUGUAUCGCUGACAACUGCUGGCCUUCCUUACAUUACAUGUAUUUACAGUGCACAUACAUCAACUACACUACAAUGCUUAAACCUCAUGUGAAAAUUCAAUUGCUUUCAUAAUUUACAGUUCAUAUUACAUUUCAGCUGCUUUCAUCUCUUCAACUUCAAAGGACUGUGCAAAGGCUUUCAGUGCUUACAUGUCAACUGACAUUUCAAUUGCUUUCAUCUCUUGCUCUUCAGGUAAUAGUUCACCAGCUUUAAGCUCUUACUUUGCAUCUGUCAAUUUAACCUCCUACAGGGCUUAAACUUUGCAACUCCUCAACUAAACCCUCAUCUCCUUUCAAUGCUUACACUUCAACUGACACCAUUUCAGUGCUUCAACUCAAAUUGUAACUCCCAUUUGCAAAGAUAUAACAUUGUAAAAAUGUUUGUUUAUAAUGUUAACAGUAUUUGUACUUGUGAUGUUCAGUUAAAAUGAUCUUUAAUGUAGUAUUUUCUAGUUAUUUCUUAUAAUUCAAGUUCUAUGAAAACAGGUGAAGCCUCCAUUAAUUUCACUACUGUGUGAAAAUCAAAUUACAGAGUUAAUGCUUUUUUGAAUUAUAGAUAAUACAUCCCAGUGAACACCUGCUUUUUCAGGUUUUAUGUUGUUAGUCACAUAAUGAAAAUUAACUACCUUACUGACCUCAGUGAUUUGUCAGCUGAUGUGAUCAUGCCACAAGAGCAAAAUCUGGAAGAGCAUAAUAGGACCAGUAUGUCCAGUCCUUUUUCCUGCUGACACUGAUGAUAUUGAAAAGCUUACUCAAAUCUUUGAUUCCCUCUGGACUGGGUUUCUGCACUGCAAAUAUCUCCAUCUUAUCGAGUCAUUUCUCUCUACAAUUAAGCCCUAAACAACUUGUUUUUAAAGAAUUUUCUACAACUGAGUAAAAGGCUGCAGUUUUGAAAAGAUUUCAAAAAAUACUCAAAACAAGUUCAUUUAUAUUGGAAACAGGCUGAUAUUAUCUUACUUCACUAGCAGAUUUUUACAUUUAUAUGGAGAAAGUAAGAUUGUAAGGAUUCAAUUACAGUGCAGACAAAAAUUACUUUGUCUGCACAAAGGUUUUUGUUUUGGUUUUUGUAUAAGUAACUGGGUUGGCAUGUCAGCAGUCUUCUGUCAUCAUCAUUUGGUAAAAGUAAUUAUGUAGCAAAUGUUUGAUAAAUGUAUUGCACUUCAGUGUAUGUCUGAAGUUUUCUGUUGUCAGCAACAGCAGGUAUAGCACCCUAUAGACAAAGGCUGGAUUCAAGAUUCAAAGAUUUAUGUGUCACAUUUCUCAAUAUGCUGGGGUGACAUACUCCACAAAAGGUGAUAAAUGGUUAGCAUGACAUAAUAAUAUUAAUAAUAAUAAGAAUGGAGUCUGCUACAUCUCAGCCUCUAGGAUGCUGCUUAGUAUUGAAGUCUCAGAAGUCUUAAGUCUUGAAGUGCUGUGCCACAGCAGCAGCACACCCAACCAUAGCAGCACAGAUGAUAAUUAUUUGUUUUCUUUCUUGUCCCCUUAAUAAUGUUGUGACUCUUCUUCAGUAAGAUUCCUCAAUCUCCAGGUUGGGACCACUGAACCUAGGCCAAUUACAACACUUGUAGGUUCCUUUAGAAACCAGCCAGACCCAUUGUUUCACCCCGAGCCCCUGGGUUCCAACCAAAAACCCUCCUUAAGUUCCUUACAGCACCCUAAAUUCUUUUCAACACCCCUUAAGCCCUUCAGCAGCCACUAUGUUCUUCACUUCGCCAUCAGUACGUUCCUGCUUUAGCUGCUCUGAUCUGGAUCCAAUGUUUGACUUGUGCUCAUUUCAGCAUUGCCAUUUUUGGAAAUUGAUUUUAAGAUCCAGAGUUAAAGUGACUUUCAGUGAGACUGAUGUGUGUGCUUUUUUCUUUUUGUGAACUAUACUCUGACAUUGUUUAGUUCUUAAAUCACUGUAGUGAUUAACUUUCUUGGUGAUUCUUCGCAUGUGAUGUUGUCCUGAAUAUUUUCUGUGUAAGAAUUUGUAAACAUUGAUUUCACAUUAUGCCGGGAUCACUCAGCUGUUUGUUUUUGUGUGUGUGUGUGUGUGUGUGUGUGUGUGUGUGUGUGUGUGUGUGUGUGUGUGUGUGUGUGUGUGAUGGUCAGACGGAGUAAAAUGGAGGGAGGGCUUCCUGUGUGUGAUUUACAGAGCCAUGGGGGAAAGAGAAAGACAACCAUAUUAGGAAAUGUUUGGCUCAACAGGAGAGAUGGCUCUGACUGUUAUCACAGCCUGUCACAUCCCCGCAAGCACACACACACAUUCCCACUCAGGGCUGGUAGACUGUCUGCACUGUCACGUGUCCUUCCAUUACAGAUAGUUCAUAUUUUGCUUUAAAUCAACUCUAUUGGCAUGAUAUGAAAUGCAAAGUGUUGAAAUGUUUGGGCUUUUAAUUAGUUAUUUAAAACUCUAUAUAGGAUUAUGGAAUAAAUUUACAUAUGGAAAAAAUUAAAUUUAGUUAACUCAGUUAUGUUUGUGUUGGCCUUUAGAUUGAAUAUAUAACUAAUCAAUUUUAGCAUGAGUUAAUAAAUUGUAAUUGAGGUCAAAUGCAUGCCCGUACACAAUGUAAAAUAUUAUUUUUAAACUUUAUAUAAGUGCGUAUUUUGUGUCAUACUGAGGCACUUGGGCAGUCUCCCUAGCAUCAUGCCUUUUCCUUUCUGUGAUGUAGAUUCUGUCUGUAUACAGUUUUUAGUCAUUUAGUGUUUAACAAGAGAACGGAUAGGCAGAAUUCAGUUAAGUUCAGCUAUCACCCUACACGCCUGACCCCUGAUAGAGUUUAAAAGAUCAGUUCACCAAAAUCACAGAUAUGUUCUCACUUUUGACUCUAGUGUUGAUUGGUCUAGAAUAAUGCACAAUGGAUAUGUUGUUGUACUGGAUUGCAUUACUUUGCAAUAUUUUGCAAUAUUUUGUCCAGCCCCAGUUAGGUAUUGUAUGGAGCAAAAUAUUUGAAACACAUUUCAAUAUCAUGCAAUACAAUUGUACAUUGUUGUCUGCCCCAGUCUUUUCUGAUGCUAUACUAGGAGUUUCCAAAGUCAAGGAUGCUCUAAUCUUGGACAUAGGGGCUUUAAUUACAUUUUGGUUUCACAUUUCCAAACAUGUAAAAAUAGAUCUAAUAAACAGUAAAUAUUUAAAUUAGUCAUACUAAAAACAACACAUUGCCAUGCAGUUUGGUAUCUAGUUGAUAUAAAAAAUCAGAACCAUGACUAACAGAACAUCCAAUGAAAAGAGACAGCAACACAACAAUUCAAUGGUGUCAUUUUUAACUGGAAGGGGUGCAUAGGUGUGAUGUGUGUUUGAGUGAUGGGGUGGGUAUGAAGCUUGCUGUGUAAAACAAUGCACUAUGAUAUGGCACCAUGGCUUAGAAAUGUUCGGGCCUAACCUUUGUGGCUUCCCAUCCACAACAGGGACACACAACCAGACUGCUGUAGGGCCUGUCUGCACUCUGUACACACAUGUUGUACAACUGACACUGUCAGUUGUACAACAUGUGUAUUCUUCAUAAAUUAGAAAUUCAUACAUUUAUAUUAAAGAUCUUCACAGUAGGGUGGGACUGGAUAAUGUAGUAAUCCAAUGAGAGUCAGAUGAUUUCAAGUUUAAUGUCAAACAUUUUUGCACAUUAGAUGCAAUAUAUGUUUGAAAUGUUCUCCAUACUGAAACUGAAUGACAUUAUUCUGCAGAUUUUGAUGACAUUCAAAUGAUAUGAAAUCAUUCAUACGUCAGUGCCAGCUUUACCCAUGUAUUAUAUACAUUAGCAUAUUCUUUUUUUUAACUAAAAAAUAAUUAAAUAUGUUCUGAAAAUACCUUCACAGAAACCCUCCUUACAACAGCAAAGAAUGGACAUGUGAAAAUAGUUAUAUUUAUGUUUUACCUGAAAGGUAAUUUUAUAUUCUGUAAUAGUGCUGUACAUGUUUAGCAUUCCACUAAGCUACACUUCCCUUUCAGCAGAAAGUAAGUUUCUUUGAAAGUUUCCCAGCAGCUCUACAGGCUUGUCUUGAUCAAGUGUAGAGUGUAUAGACUGAUUUCUCUGAAUAUUUCUGUAAUGAUGAGGCUGUAGAGUUCCAGUUCAGUCUCUUUUUGUAAUAGUAGUAUUUGUAGUUGUAGUUUAAUGUAUGCAGAUGGAAAAGGUUGUAAAGCCAAACAACAUAAAGUAUCUGGUCAUUUACUAGUCCUCACUUUACAACUUAUUUUUGUUAUCCAAUUCAAACCCCAGCCAAACAAAACAUCUUUGGAUUUAAAAAAAUAAGUCCUAUAAGAAGUUUAAUCUAAAACAGCUGGCUAGAAUGUAUAUUAAAAAAUUACACAACAAAAUGUAUCUGAAUCAAGGCUGAUGAGGAUGAUGAUGUGAUGAGGACAAAAUGAGGGAUGUUGCCUGUGGUGUGAAACUUGGGAACAGGGUGCAGGCUUGAAGCUUGAUGUCAUUUAAUACAGACACACACAUACAGGCUGGGAGAGGGCAGACAUGCUUGUUGCUUUAGUUUACACAGGGAUAACACCUCCUGAGGAAAAACCUCAAGACAUGCCCUACUGUUAGACUGUGGCUUUCUGUGUGUGUGUGUGUGUGUGUGUGUGUGUGUGUGUGUGUGUGUGUGUGUGUGUGUGUGUGUGUGUGUGUGUGUGUGUGUCUCAGAGUGUGUGUAUAAGAGAAAGAUAGAGAGCAGGUCUUUCUUCUUAAUAUGGACUUCUUGAGCCUGGAGUAUAGGGAGAAGGGCAGCGUGAGAUAAAAGCCCCCUCUCCCUCUGCUGCCUUUUAAGUGAGUCUCUCCCCACUAUGACUAGAAAAGGGAAUGUAUGUAGCCAGCUGGAAAGAGGAGGGGGUGGAGGGUGAGGGGAGGGAUGACAAACUAUCAGUGGGAGUGAUCGCAGACUGGAAGAGGGAAUGUUUAUCCAAAGCAGCAAUCCCAUUUUCCAUGAUCCCAAAAAUAAAAGGCCAGCUCAGGCCUUAUAUGGGCAGACUGGGAGUUUUGAGCUGAGCAGAAUCAGAGCAUUCCUGGAAAACACCCGGCUUCUCUCUGUCUUUAUAUGUCUCCUCUCUUCUUGAUGUAUUAGGUGUGUAUCAGUGAUAGAGAAGGAAAUUGUUAGAGUGACAGUGCUGGUGCUCAGAGGACAUUAAAAGGUCAUGAGAACAUUGUAAUUAGUUUAAUUUAUUUUAAGAAUGUGUAUAAAAUAUGUGCUUUGUUUGUUAAGGUGUUGCUGUUGAGAUGAGAUAAUGGAGAUCAAAGAUGGAAAUCCAACAGUCUUCACUACAAUGCUACAAGAUGGGUAAGGCCUCAAGAAUGACACACAGUGUCUGUUUUUGUUGGUUUCAGAAAAAAAAAGUUUUUUAGGAGUUUAAUCAACAUCUGUACUUUUUAUAUGAUUCUAAAAAAGUUCCCAUAGAGGCUUUUUAUCUUCCAGACCAGCACUUCAUCUACUGAAAUCACAGGAAGCUAUUUCCACACAGUCUUUAAAGACUGCAUAAUAUAAUUCCAGAUGGUAUUACUGCAGAUUAAACAAUAACAUACUCAUACCAUUCAGAAAGCCCUUGUGAAACUGUAGCAUUCAUUAAGUUUUCUCACUCAUUUAUCCUGGUUUUUCCUUCAAAUGUCUUUUGUCUGUAUGUCUGCAAUUAAAAUUGAAAUUUGAUUUUUAAUAUUUUUGAUAUUUGCUAGUAUGUGGUACAUCUGUCUCCUAAUAGCCAUGUUAGUAUUUAAAGGAUUCUGUAAAACAAACUGCUCAUUCACUCCAGACUCUGGAGACUACAACUCUCACCAAGGUAUCUUUCUCUGAGAUUUCUGCCUCCACCACAGAAUCUGUGCUGCUCACAGCACUGAAAAUGUCAUUUGAAAAACUCAACAGCAUGCCUUUUGAAAAACAUUCUUUUGGUUACCCUGAAUAAAUCCACCACUCUCACUGUAAACCAUUUCCAUUUAGACUAUUUUCUACUGGAGAAAUAAUUCCUAUUCAGGGUUCUUUUAAUUUGUGACCCAUCUGUAUGUCUUUUUGUAAACUGUGUGAACUGACCCUUUAAGGUCUGUCUUAAUUUACAGUAGACAACUCUACAACUUCUGGGUUUAAGUUAGAGAAAACUUCAUGGUUAAAGGAAACCAUGAGGUACAAAAUGGGAUGUGAACCCUAGCCACCUACGUCAACAUCAAAUGUACCACCUCAACCUACCUAUAUCACACUUCUUCAUGCUUUGACCCUGAUUAUCAAAAAUAAUCAGUAACUCCAGUUGUCAGAUAAACAUAGUGAAGUAUAAAGAUUUCCAUGUGAAAUAGAGUGGAGGAAAAGUAGAAAGUCUCCUAACAUGGAAAUACGCGUGUAAGGCAGCAGACAUACUAAACUGUACUUGAGUGUGUAUGUGCAGCGUCAGAUGUCUGCCAUUACAAUGUCUCUCAAAGUAUGUGUGCUGUGUUUCAGAUGUCAGAGACGAGCAGCAGAAAGGUGAAUAUCACUCACUCACUCACUCACUCACUCACUCACUCACACACACACACACACACACACACACACACACACACACACACACACACAACACAUACAUUUUCACCUUUUUUGUUUUACACUGCUGUUUCUGACUUGUUAGUAGAAAGACAUGUUUCAAAAAUCCCUCAAAACAUUCAAAAUCAUUCUAAUGAGACACUAAAUUGUAUCUUAUCUGUAAAUUAAGACAUUGUUGUAUCAUGACAGGUCUUUUCUACCACGUGAGGCUGAUAAUGUGUUUGAAUCUGUUGGGCCACAUGGCUUAGUGUGGUUUUGUGAGAUUAAAAAUCAAUAAUAUUUCUUGGUCAGCUACAAAGUAUGAAGUACAUGUUGCUUAGUCAGAACAGAAUAGUACCAGUCUGUGAGAUGUCUGUGAGGACAGACACUAACACAACAAGUGUUAGUCAGAUAACAUUGAGAUAAAAACAUUGACAACAGACAACACGUAAUCAUCUUUUUAUGGUAGUCUGUGAAGUUAGAUUACUUUUUUAUUGUGUAUAUAUUGUUUUUUAAUGGUUGAUAGUGUAAGAAAUGUGUAUAUUGUGUAAAUACAGUAAGAUCUGCAGCUCUCUAUAGAACAUUCUACAGUGUAUUCUACAAGAAUGAGUCAGAAAUGCAGCAGGGAAGAUUUCAGUGAGCUUUAUUUCUGACAGUUUAUCUUGUUUUUUGGUUGAAUAUGGAUGGAUUUCAGUAUGGUUACGAUUUGGCAGAUUGCUGUCCUUAUAAAUACAUGUUAGUUUUUUAAUAAACAUAAACAUAAACUGAAGAGUGUUGAAGUGAGGAUGUAACCGUGUAAAAUGUGCUGCAGAUCCACAGAUCUGCACACAAGAACAGAGUUGUUUGUGUUUGAGUGAGAAAAGUAUCAGGAAAUUUGAAGGCUGUAGUCACUGAAUGCUUUUUGGGUGAAAACAAUGCAAAUGUGUAUGGUAUGGUCCAAAAUUGUAGCUAUUGUGUCAAAUGUGUGAGGAGUUUUGAAGAUGUGGACUCAGUAUUGAACUGUGCAGGUAACCAAUCACAAGAAACUGUAACAUGGCAUCUUAAAUGACUGACUGUGCUUUGUUUACUGCUUCCCCUUGUUUUUCUCCAAUUGACCUCCUGGUCCAUCCCUGUGGCCCAUGGUGCAGUGCUGCAUCUCUGGUCAGUUGGUAGUCUGAGAUGAAGCACUGUAGCUCGGGACGGAGGACCGAAAUAUCAGCCUCUACACAUCCACAGCAGGACAACAAGAUCCACCAGCAGGUCUCCAGGGCUCUGAUUUGCUUCAACAGGGAGAAUGAUAUGAAUGAGUCACGGGACAGUGGACUCAGCUGACUCACAGGAUCACAUGGCACUUUGUAGAUCACUGUCAGGCAGGAUUUUAGAUUAGAAUGGACUGUUUCACAAAGCUCACUAAUGUUUCCAUCAGCAGGAAAGUUGUUUCUGUCAAAAUAAAUCAUAUUUAGAGGACAGAAAAAAUGUAUGUUGUAGAAUUCAUCACACAAUAAGGAACAGAGAGAUACAUGUGAAAAAUUUACACAUUUCCUUGAUAGUGUUAAAAUAUUUUGUUUAAAUGUAUUAUAAAUUACCUUUAAAGAAUGCUUACUGUCUCAUUCAUUUCUAUUAAGAAAUACUAUCACGUUCAACUUUUAAGACCAACCAUUAAGAUUUUCAGAUAAAUGAGAUUUAUAACAACUAAUAUAUCAUACACCAGAUUACACAAUUUAGGUGUUUAGACAUACCAUCAUCAGGUCAAAGAAAGAAAGAAUCAGUUUUGUGACAGUUUCAAAGCUUCAAAUGGACUAUCUAUAAAUGGGGAGUAUGGAAACCGGAGCUAGACUUCUCCAUGUGAGGAAUGGGAUCUAUCAGUGUUGAUGUGAUGAUUGAUGAUGAUGAAUGGAUUACAUCAUUCUCACUGACCUCUUUUUUCUCCUCUCUCCUGGGGUCCAGUUUUCCCAGGAAUCCCUUGACCAAUCAGAAAGGGGGAUUCCUGGAAAUACUGUUCUUGGGGGCGGGGCUUACCAACAACUCCAUGAGUGUUCUAAUGAUGGGUGAUAUGCGUUGUAAGCAACAUCUAUAGUGUAAUAUUGUGUUUUUACUGACUGGUUUUACUGAUCAGACACCAGAGAAACACAAGUCUAAUGACUUGUGUUUCUCUGGUUCUCUGGUUUCAGUCAAGAACAGAGUUUGAAGUCACAUGUCAUGUUCCUGUUUAUGAGAUGAGACUUGUUACUGGAGAGUUUGAUCCAAUCUGGGUGGGAAAGUAACUGACUUCCCCUCCCUCCUUCCUCACUGCUGUGGGGCUGCAAUGUCAAGAUUCUGUGUAAAACAUAUUCUUCAGUGUUGAAUAAACAUUCAAAACAGAAA